This 233-nucleotide ribosomal RNA is filed under the name uncultured bacterium. Its description in RNAcentral is "partial 16S ribosomal RNA". It matches the Rfam family "Bacterial small subunit ribosomal RNA", at positions 118 to 351 of the family's 1533-position model. The record is from RNAcentral.
UGGGCAAUCUGCCCUGCACUUCGGAACAACCCGGGGAAACCCGGGCUAAUACCGGAUACGAUCCGGGCCCGCAUGGGCCCGGAUGGAAAGCUCCGGCGGUGCAGGAUGAGCCCGCGGCCUAUCAGCUCGUUGGUGGGGUCACGGCCCACCAAGGCGACGACGGGUAGCCGGCCUGAGAGGGCGACCGGCCACACUGGGACUGAGACACGGCCCAGACUCCGUACGGGAGGCAG